GUAUAAGGCUUUACAACAUUCCUUCUUAGCCUUCACCUUUGUUUGUACCUCCUCAUUCCACCACCAAGAUUCCUUUUGUUGUGGAACAAAGCCCUUGGACUCUCCUAAUACCUCUUUUGCUACUUUUCGGAUACAACUAGCCAUGGAAUCCCACAUUUGGCUAGCUUCCCCCUCUCUAUCCCACACACAUUGGGUGAUUACUUUCUCUUUGAAAAUGGCUUGUUUUUCUCCUUUUAGAUUCCACCAUCUAGUCCUUGGGCACUUCCA
This 267-nucleotide long non-coding RNA is filed under the name Malus domestica (apple). RNAcentral describes it as "long non-coding RNA (MDOM_LNC013245)". The record is from RNAcentral. Lineage: Eukaryota; Viridiplantae; Streptophyta; Magnoliopsida; Rosales; Rosaceae.